Cherax quadricarinatus is the source of this 567-nucleotide long non-coding RNA. RefSeq lists it as uncharacterized. The record is from RefSeq and is a predicted model, not a curated record. Lineage: Eukaryota; Metazoa; Arthropoda; Malacostraca; Decapoda; Parastacidae.
GUGGAUGUAGAAUACACGUGGUGGUGACAGAGCUGCUCAUCCUUGGGAAUGUUCACACGACAGCCAGAUGACGUGGUGGUCACCCGUGGUCUCAUGGUCACUCAUGGUCACUAGUGGUGCUGCUGGACACAGACAUGUGCUGUACCUGUAGACGUGUAUAUCUCUGCUGUACCGGCAGACGUAUGUACCUCUGCUGUACCUGCAGACGUGCACAUGUGCGGUGUCUGCGUAGCAUCAGGGAAGGGGAGCAGAGACUACACCGUGAGAACAGCGUGGGGAAGAUGGGGUUGAUUCAUAGCUCCUGGUCCAUCUUCAUCUCAUCGAUCGGCAGACAGCUAUGAGAGAGAGAAACCCGGGAAUAACCAGGACUGGUUAAGCCAACGGAUACACCACUUCUUGACCAUACAGUCCCAGCAAGGGUACUGGUGGCUUGGAGGUCCUGGGAGGAACCAAAGAAGACCAGGGUGAGGAGGUGGAGGAGGGAGGGGGACUAAGAGUGCAAUUUGUAUUAAAAUCAUCUCCUGCCAUAUGUCGGGAACGUUAGCGAGAAGUGGAAGGAUUACAGGC